This 75-nucleotide transfer RNA is filed under the name Candidatus Peregrinibacteria bacterium RIFOXYA2_FULL_33_7. RNAcentral's name for it is "tRNA-Arg". It matches the Rfam family "tRNA". Rfam says of the family: Transfer RNA (tRNA) molecules are approximately 80 nucleotides in length. Their secondary structure includes four short double-helical elements and three loops (D, anti-codon, and T loops). The record is from RNAcentral. Lineage: Bacteria; Candidatus Peregrinibacteriota.
GUCCCUGUAGUUCAAAGGAUAGAACAAGGGUUUCCUAAACUCUAGAUUCAGGUUCAAUUCCUGACAGGGAUACCA